RNAcentral lists this ribosomal RNA (164 nucleotides) under Salvia podadena. Its description in RNAcentral is "5.8S ribosomal RNA". It matches the Rfam family "5.8S ribosomal RNA". Rfam says of the family: 5.8S ribosomal RNA (5.8S rRNA) is a component of the large subunit of the eukaryotic ribosome. Lineage: Eukaryota; Viridiplantae; Streptophyta; Magnoliopsida; Lamiales; Lamiaceae. The record is from RNAcentral.
AUAACGACUCUCGGCAACGGAUAUCUCGGCUCUCGCAUCGAUGAAGAACGUAGCGAAAUGCGAUACUUGGUGUGAAUUGCAGAAUCCCGUGAACCAUCGAGUCUUUGAACGCAAGUUGCGCCCGAAGCCUUUUGGCCGAGGGCACGUCUGCCUGGGCGUCACGC